This 253-nucleotide ribosomal RNA is filed under the name uncultured bacterium. RNAcentral's name for it is "partial 16S ribosomal RNA". It matches the Rfam family "Bacterial small subunit ribosomal RNA", at positions 524 to 776 of the family's 1533-position model. The record is from RNAcentral.
UACAGAGGGGGCGAGCGUUGUUCGGAAUCACUGGGCUUAAAGGGCGUGUAGGCGUCCUGGUAAGUCAGGUGUGGAAGCCCCUAGCUCACCUAGGGAAUAGCACUUGAAACUAUCGGGAUAGAGUUCAGUUAAGGAGGGCGGAAUUCCUGGUGUAGCAGUGAAAUGCGUAGAUAUCAGGAGGAAGGCAUGUGACGAAGGUUGCCCUCUGAACUGUAACUGACGCUAAGGCGCGAAAGCGUGGGGAGCAAACAGG